Long non-coding RNA from Zonotrichia albicollis (white-throated sparrow), 1494 nucleotides. RefSeq lists it as uncharacterized. The record is from RefSeq and is a predicted model, not a curated record. Lineage: Eukaryota; Metazoa; Chordata; Aves; Passeriformes; Passerellidae.
CAAUAGUUGGAAUAAAUAGAGUAAAACUUCAAGGAAAAGAAAAGGUCAUUCUGUAGAAACAAAUAUCAAAAAUAGGUCAGUAGGCUGUUUCAUAAACCUUUCUUUGUACUGCUCUGGUAAUGAUAAAGGUUAUUCAAGACCCAGAAAGAGUCCCAAAGGUUACCCCUUUGGAAAAACCCACCACCACUGGAUCAAUAUUGUUCCACAGCAUUGUGUGGAAACCAGAGUAUUUCAGACAAUAAUGGAGCAUAGAAAGGAGGUGAGCAGCAACCUACAAAGCACCGGGGAUAAAGCUGGCCCUGCAGGCCCCAGGGCCAGCUGUGGUGGCUGUGGCAUAGCUGCCUGGGCAGCCCUGUGCAGACAGCUCUGACCCCUGACUCCUGCUGGAGCCUUGGCAAACCCCUCUGCAGCAGCUGCUCUGCUGCUCACACAGAGUUCCUUGGGCACUUUAUAUUUGCAUUAAAGCUUUUUGCCCUCUCAGCCUGCAGAGCUGCAAGAAUUUCUCAGUUAAGAUUCUAAAUUACAUUUAAAAAUGCGGGGGGAAAACAAUCCAUCCUCUUAAGAAGUUUUUGUGUCCCUAGAGUGCUGAGGUUGCCAGGCUGGUUGUGCAGGAGAGAAGAGAAACACUGGUUCUCUGGUUUUGGGCAGGUGGUCUGUGAAAUUUCUCUAACUGCCUUUUCCCCCUUCCAAAACAGGUCUUGGUUAAAGUUAGUAGCUUUUUGUAGAACAUUCCUACAAUGUACUGUGCCUGUCUUAAUGUGAGCUAUAGAAAUUUCAGUCUAUAUGGACUUGGGCUGCAAGCCUGCUUAGGUAGAAAUCCAUGACUGUUCUGUGUUUUGUUUCCUUCAGUACUCCAUUGGGAAGUUAGAGGGCAUCAUGUCUGAAGAGAUUUGGCCUCUCAGAAAUGCAGCCCAGCUUCUGAUCAGACUGAGAUGUGUGGGCAGGCCCCAGCCAGGCUACAGGAGUGACUGAACACAGAUUACCUCCUCCUGGUCCUCCCACAGGCAAUGUACCUCUGGCAAAAAGAGAAUGCACAAAAUUCCUUCACUGUACAGAGAUCUUUGAGUCUGCAAAGUGUCCCUUCUGUAAUUGCCUUGUUCCCUCAGUAGUUGUGGAGGAAUUUCAGCCCAAGAAGCUCUGGUGAGGCUUCAGAGGUACUUGGAAAAGUGUUGAUAUUCCUAUACAUCACUGAGUACUCAUUGCCAGUGCAUUCCCAUUUCUCAUCAUUCUAAGAAUUUCUGAAAGUCUAGGAAAUAAUCUGUAUGUCAUUGCAGUUUAUUUGGAUAUUUAUCAUCGUAAAGUUUAGGAGAUUAAUUAUUUGUGCAAUAAAAUUAAUCUUUGUAAAUAGGUUCUAUUGCACAUGCUAUUUUUUCUUCAUCAGAGGAGUUAACCUCUACUACCAAAAUCCACCAUAAACUGUAAAAAUUAAAGAGAACACUAAAACCAUAGUACUUAAAAAGACACAAAUCAAUUUAAAAUUAACAAUAAGCUUUC